RNAcentral lists this ribosomal RNA (563 nucleotides) under Actinoplanes sp. 410E04. RNAcentral's name for it is "bacterial SSU rRNA". It matches the Rfam family "Bacterial small subunit ribosomal RNA", at positions 93 to 671 of the family's 1533-position model. Lineage: Bacteria; Bacillati; Actinomycetota; Actinomycetes; Micromonosporales; Micromonosporaceae. RNAcentral also lists the same sequence under 1 other name. The record is from RNAcentral.
GAGCGGCGAACGGGUGAGUAACACGUGAGUAACCUGCCCUGGACUUUGGGAUAACCCUCGGAAACGGGGGCUAAUACCGGAUACGACUUUUCCUCGCAUGGGGAAGGGUGGAAAGUUUUUCGGUCUGGGAUGGGCUCGCGGCCUAUCAGCUUGUUGGUGGGGUGAUGGCCUACCAAGGCGACGACGGGUAGCCGGCCUGAGAGGGCGACCGGCCACACUGGGACUGAGACACGGCCCAGACUCCUACGGGAGGCAGCAGUGGGGAAUAUUGCACAAUGGGCGGAAGCCUGAUGCAGCGACGCCGCGUGAGGGAUGACGGCCUUCGGGUUGUAAACCUCUUUCAGCAGGGACGAAGCGUAAGUGACGGUACCUGCAGAAGAAGCGCCGGCCAACUACGUGCCAGCAGCCGCGGUAAGACGUAGGGCGCGAGCGUUGUCCGGAUUUAUUGGGCGUAAAGAGCUCGUAGGCGGCUUGUCGCGUCGAAUGUGAAAACCUGCAGCUCAACUGCAGGCUUGCAUUCGAUACGGGCAGGCUCGAGUUCGGUAGGGGAGACUGGAAUUCCU